GCAAGGGUUAGUUCCGCAUGAUUUGCAUUAUAGUACCACAUGGCCCCGCAUACUUAAAAAUAACAUUCCCCAUGCUAUCCUGGCAUACACCACCCACACCUGCCAAACCUGGAUUCUCCAAUGAUGAAACAUCAAAAUCCAGUUUGUGACAUCCAAAUAUAGGAGACUGCCAUUUACAUUCCGGUUUGAUCUUAACAACCUUAAGAGUCAUUAAGUUAGCUAUAUUUAACUCAAUAUCCACCUUAGAGACUCCUCUCCCUUCUUCAGUGAUGCUAAACCAACUCCAAACAUCCGAUAAGAUUCUUCAUUUACCUUCUUGUAGCUCC
This 326-nucleotide long non-coding RNA is filed under the name Amborella trichopoda. RNAcentral's name for it is "long non-coding RNA (ATRI_LNC005494)". The record is from RNAcentral. Lineage: Eukaryota; Viridiplantae; Streptophyta; Magnoliopsida; Amborellales; Amborellaceae.